RNAcentral lists this ribosomal RNA (376 nucleotides) under uncultured bacterium. RNAcentral's name for it is "bacterial SSU rRNA". It matches the Rfam family "Bacterial small subunit ribosomal RNA", at positions 524 to 898 of the family's 1533-position model. The record is from RNAcentral.
GACAGAGGCCCCGAGCGUUAGGCGGAAUCACUGGGCUUAAAGCGUGUGUAGGCGGAUCGUUAAGUGUCUUGUGAAAUCCCACGGCUCACCCGUGGAACUGCUGGGCAUACUGGCGAUCUUGGGCCAUUCAGGGGCGACUGGAACAAGCGGUGGAGCGGUGAAAUGCGUAGAUAUCGCUUGGAACGCCAAAGGUGAAAACAGGUCGCUGGGGAUGUGCCGACGCUGAGACACGAAAGCCAGGGGAGCAAACGGGAUUAGAUACCCCGGUAGUCCUGGCCCUAAACGAUGUCCACUAGAUUGCGGCGCCUUUGACGGCGUCGCGGUCGAAGCAAAAGUGUUAAGUGGACCGCCUGGGAAGUACGGUCGCAAGGCUAAA